This 253-nucleotide ribosomal RNA is filed under the name uncultured bacterium. RNAcentral describes it as "partial 16S ribosomal RNA". It matches the Rfam family "Bacterial small subunit ribosomal RNA", at positions 524 to 776 of the family's 1533-position model. The record is from RNAcentral.
UACGGAGGGUGCAAGCGUUAAUCGGAAUUACUGGGCGUAAAGCGUGCGCAGGCGGUUUGCUAAGACAGGUGUGAAAUCCCCGGGCUUAACCUGGGAACUGCGCUUGUAACUGGCAAGCUUGAGUGUGGCAGAGGGGGGUGGAAUUCCACGUGUAGCAGUGAAAUGCGUAGAGAUGUGGAGGAACACCGAUGGCGAAGGCAGCCCCCUGGGCUAACACUGACGCUCAUGCACGAAAGCGUGGGGAGCAAACAGG